RNAcentral lists this ribosomal RNA (505 nucleotides) under uncultured bacterium. Its description in RNAcentral is "partial 16S ribosomal RNA". It matches the Rfam family "Bacterial small subunit ribosomal RNA", at positions 28 to 507 of the family's 1533-position model. The record is from RNAcentral.
GACGAACGCUGGCGGCGUGCCUAAUACAUGCAAGUAGAACGCACAGUUUAUACCGUAGCUUGCUACACCAUAGACUGUGAGUUGCGAACGGGUGAGUAACGCGUAGGUAACCUGCCUGGUAGCGGGGGAUAACUAUUGGAAACGAUAGCUAAUACCGCAUAAUAUUAAUUAUUGCAUGAUAAUUAAUUGAAAGGUGCAAUUGCACCACUACCAGAUGGACCUGCGUUGUAUUAGCUAGUAGGUGAGGUAACGGCUCACCUAGGCGACGAUACAUAGCCGACCUGAGAGGGUGAUCGGCCACACUGGGACUGAGACACGGCCCAGACUCCUACGGGAGGCAGCAGUAGGGAAUCUUCGGCAAUGGACGAAAGUCUGACCGAGCAACGCCGCGUGAGUGAAGAAGGUUUUCGGAUCGUAAAGCUCUGUUGUAAGAGAAGAACGGGUGUGAGAGUGGAAAGUUGACACUGUGACGGUAUCUUACCAGAAAGGGACGGCUAACUACGUG